RNAcentral lists this ribosomal RNA (561 nucleotides) under Triticum aestivum (bread wheat). RNAcentral describes it as "partial small subunit ribosomal RNA". Lineage: Eukaryota; Viridiplantae; Streptophyta; Magnoliopsida; Poales; Poaceae. The record is from RNAcentral.
AUGUGUCAGUUCCUUCAUGCACCUACCACUGUUCACAUGACUGCUGCAAAACAUAUAGUAAGAUAUGUGAAAAAUACAUUGAGCAUUGGCCUGAAUUUCAGUAAUAAUUUGCCAUUUAUUAGUGCCUUCACUGACUCAGACUGGGCUGGGUGUCUAGAUGACAGACGCUCAACUGGUGGUUUUGUAGUAUUCUUUGGACCUAAUUUGAUAUCUUGGAGUGCAAGGAAGCAAGCCACAGUUUCAAGAUCCAGUACAGAGGCGGAAUACAAAGCAUUGGCAAAUGCAACAACAGAGAUCAUAUGGGUGCAGUCAAUUUUAAAGGAAUUAGGUAUGAAAAGCACUAGAGCUCCAUGUUUAUGGUGUGAUAAUCUAGGUGCUACCUAUUUGUCAGCAAAUUCAGUCUUUCAUGCUAGAACUAAACACAUUGACAUAGAUUUUCACUUUGUUCGAGAAAUAGUUGCAAAUAAACUUUUGGAUAUUCGGUUUAUCCACUCUCAAGACCAAGUUGCUGAUGGCUUCACCAAAGCUCUACCUACAAGAAGUUUUGAAGACUUCAAUCAU